This 1397-nucleotide ribosomal RNA is filed under the name uncultured archaeon. Its description in RNAcentral is "bacterial SSU rRNA". It matches the Rfam family "Archaeal small subunit ribosomal RNA". The record is from RNAcentral.
UACUGCUAUUGGAGUUCGAUUAAGCCAUGCGAGUCAAGGGGACUUCGGUCACCGGCGGAAUGCUCAGUAACACGUGGACAAUCUGCCCUCGGGUGGGGAAUAAACCCGCGAAAGUGGGGCUAAUACCCCAUAGGCACAGAAGGCUGGAAUGCAUCUGUGCCCAAAGCUCCGGCGCCCGAGGAUGAGUCUGCGGCCUAUCAGGUAGUAGUCAGGGUCACGACCUGACUAGCCAGCGACGGGUACGGGCCUUGAGAGAGGUCGCCCGGAGAUGGACUCUGAGACACGAGUCCAGGCCCUACGGGGCGCAGCAGGCGCGAAAACUUCGCAAUGCAGGAAACUGUGACGAGGGAACUCCAAGUGUCCAUGCAUUGCAUGGACUGUUUGCCAGCCUAAAAAGCUGAUAGAGUAAGGGGUGGGAAAGACCGGUGCCAGCCGCCGCGGUAACACCGGCACCUCAAGUGGUAGCCACUAUUAUUGGGCCUAAAGCGUUCGUAGCCGGCUUGGUUAAUUCCUGGGUAAAUCGUACCGCUCAACGGUGCGGAUUCCGGGGACACUGCCAAGCUUGAGACCGGGGGAGAUCAGAGGUACUUGCGGGGGAGCGGUGAAAUGUUGUAAUCCCGCAGGGACCACCAAUGGCGAAGGCAUCUGAUCAAAACGGCUCUGACGGUGAGGAACGAAACCCUGGGGGCGCAAACGGGAUUAGAUACCCCGGUAGUCCAGGGCGUAAACGCUGCUGACUUGGUGUUGGGGGGUCCUGCGAGGGCGUCCAGUGCCGGCACGAAGGUAUUGAGUCAGCCGCCUGGGGAGUACGGUCGCAAGACUGAAACUUAAAGGGAAUUGGCGGGGGAGCACUGCAACGGGUGGAGCGUGCGGUUUAAUUGGAUUCAACGCCGGAAAACUCACCGGGGGCGACGAUUACAUGAAGGCCAGGUUGAUGACCUUGCCUGAUUUUUCGAGAGGUGGUGCAUGGCCGCCGUCAGUUCGUACCGUAAGGCGUUCUGUUAAGUCAGAUAACGAACGAGACCCUCAUUGCCAUUUGCUAGGCUCUUCUCAGGAAGGGUUGCACUAUGGCGAUACCGCCACUGCUGAAGUGGAGGAAGGAGGGGGCAACGGUAGGUCAGUAUGCCCCGAAUCUCCCGGGCUACACGCGCGCUACAAAGGGCAGGACAAUGGGCUUCGACGCCGAAAGGCGGAGGCAAUCCCGAAACCUGCUCGUACUUCGGAUUGAGGGCUGCAAUUCGCCCUCAUGAAGCUGGAAUCCGUAGUAAUCGCGGGUCAACAUCCCGCGGUGAAUAUGCCCCUGCUCCUUGCACACACCGCCCGUCAAACCACCUUAGUUGGGUCUGGACGAGGGCACGCCUUUUGGCGCGCUCGAAUCUGGGUUCAGCGAGGAGGGU